UCAGUUCCUGACAAUGGACAACAACACACCAGCCAGUAGGUUCUAUUUCAUUGUCAUCUACGAUUUGAUUUUUCGUGAAAUACCCUUUUUUACUUAUUCAUUGUUGCAUUGCUUGUAUUAUAUGAUGCUUAGACGAUACUAGAUGGUCAGUUUCUAUUAUUGACAUCAGAUUUAUAGUAGAUAUUAGAUAACGCGAGUAUUUUAUGCAGGUUCACAAGGUACAAGUUGAAGUGCCAAAUUGUCGGAAAGGACUUGGUACUUAUCCAUUUCUCUAUAUUAGCAUAGAAUAUGCUUGCUUUUGUUCAUGUUGUUCAUAUUAUGUAAACUAUUUUUUUCUGAAGCAGUUGAUAUUGCUAAUUAGAUAGCUAUAAACACUCUGCAGUUAUCCCUAUUUGCUCCUCCCUUGAUGUGAAGAACAACUAUUAUGGGUCUUAAUUAUUGAUUUAUUUCUGAUAAUUCUGAUGUCAGUAACUGAAGUUAAUAAAAUUAGACUUAAUAGUAAUGCACUAAUAAAAUUGAAUGUAGGAUAGAAUGUUCAAGUAUCAUCAUUAUUUAUUCUGAAGCAUGCCAUUGUGAUAGGUUUAGGUUGUACUUUACAAAUUAAAUUCCAUUAUGCAGUUUCCUUUUCCUUUUUUAUUAACACUAUAUUUCUGGGUGUUUCUAAUAGUUUGUUUUUACACAAAUAACCUAGGGAGUUGCACAUUGUGAAUUUGUCAGGUACUCUGCUCCUCAGGAACUGUUGCCUGCCUUUCUUCCCUCUUCCAUGGGCCCGAAAAGAUUGUUCUUCUAAUACAUCAUAAGACACAUGCAUUAGAGUCAAAUAAUAAACAUCAGAUAACAAGCAAGAUCAAGUAUGAAAAUGUUCUCAUAAUUAUUUUCUGGUAAACGGAUAUGACUAGAAGAAUUAUACGGUGAUUGGUAAGGAAAUCCUCAAAGAAAUCUUAGCAAUUAAAACCAUUUUCUUCAUGUUGUAUUUUUUUUCCCAGAAGUUAGAACGUGCUAAUUCAUACCAUGUAUAAGUUUUUUAUGUCCUUUUGCUUCUUCACAGUACUUUUUGCUUAUUCAUUGUAGUUCUAUAGUGUCUGAACAUUGCCAUUAUUGUUCACAAUUCACAUAUGUAAUUCCAGGCAUGCAGCUGAAUAUGUGAAAAGACUUUCUCCAAUCAUCUUGAAUAACAUCUUGGAAGGGAAAACGAG
Molecule: long non-coding RNA, 1196 nt
Filed under: Glycine max (soybean)
Lineage: Eukaryota; Viridiplantae; Streptophyta; Magnoliopsida; Fabales; Fabaceae
Description: long non-coding RNA (GMAX_LNC001712)
Source: RNAcentral